Bufo bufo (common toad) is the source of this 1333-nucleotide RNA transcript. It is a transcript of the gene named H-2 class I histocompatibility antigen, Q9 alpha chain-like, with no coding region annotated. The transcript is spliced from 10 exons. Lineage: Eukaryota; Metazoa; Chordata; Amphibia; Anura; Bufonidae. The record is from RefSeq and is a predicted model, not a curated record.
AGCUCCUCCAGUGCACGGACUGGGAUCCUCUAUUACAGCUGCGCUCGUCUGGGGGACACUCAGGUUCUCGUCACUCGGGGCCCCCAAUAUAUCAGAGGAAGAUGAAGAAGAUGUUCCCCCUCGUUGUGCUUCUCCUCCAUGUGUCUGCGGUGUGUUCUGACAGUCACUCUCUGCGCUAUUACUGCACGGGGGUCUCAGCUCCGGGGUCCGGGCUGCCGGAGUUCUCCAUAGUCGGAUACGUGGAUGAUCGGGAGAUCGUGAAUUAUAACUCAGAGAGCGGAAGAGCGAAACCGAAGGUGAAGUGGAUGGAAAAAGUGGAUCCAGGAUACUGGGAGGAUAAUACACAGAGAGCUAAAGGAGAUGAGGUUUCAUUCAGACAUAGUGUGAGGACAGUGAUGAGCCGCUUCAACCAGACCGGAGGUUUCCAUAUUGUCCAGUGGAUGUACGGCUGUGAGCGGAGAGAUGACGGCAGCGUCACAGGAUACGAUCAGCACGGAUAUGAUGGAGGAGAGUUCAUGUCCCUGGACACACAGACGUGGACAUAUAUCCCCACCAUGUCCCAGGCUCAGAUCUCCGCACAGAGAUGGAACAGUCGGGAGGAACAAGUGGUGGAGAGACACAAGAAUUAUCUGGAGAAUAUCUGUAUAGACUGGCUGCAGAAACAUGUGGAGAACGGGAGAGAAGAUCUGGAGAGGAGAGUUCAGCCGCAGGUGAAGGUCUCCGGUCAGAAGAAAGGUGACACCAUGAUGCUUCACUGCCAGGUGUACGGAUUUCACCCCCGAGCUGUGCACGUGAAGUGGAUGAAGAACGGGGACGACGUUCCCGACUAUGAGACCACACACACCCUCCCCAAUCCUGACGGCACCUAUCAGAUCAGGGUCAGUGCGGAAGUGAUCCCCAAAGAGGGCGAGAGUUACUCCUGUUAUGUGGAUCACAGCAGCCUGGGCGAGCCGCUGAACGUUGUGUGGGAACCAAGUAAUCCGAGGGUCUGGGUCACCCCUGUGGUCGUAGCUGUGGUGGUCAUCAUUCUUCUUGCUGCUGCCAUUGGUGGAUUUGUCCUAUACAGAAGGAAGAAAGCCGACUACACGGCGACCAGCACUUCAGAGACUUCAUGAUCUGAUGCGUCCGAUAAUGCCGCUAAAGCCUAAUGAUCCAGACGGGCGGCCAUGAGCUUUCCUGGGAAAAGGGAUAUGCAGAUUAGAUUGACAACUCUUUAAUAAGAACUGUGUGCUGUUAAUCUAAAGCCCCCAUUAACAGGGUCUUGUCUAGGGGAGUUGUUCUAAAAUAUACUGACUUAGACCGUACACACGAGCGAGUUGAAUGCGAUAAACUU